Molecule: ribosomal RNA, 467 nt
Filed under: uncultured bacterium
Lineage: Bacteria
Description: partial 16S ribosomal RNA
Rfam family: Bacterial small subunit ribosomal RNA
Source: RNAcentral
GAUGAACGCUGGCGGCGUGCUUAACACAUGCAAGUCGAACGGAAAGGCCUCUGCUUGCAGGGGUACUCGAGUGGCGAACGGGUGAGUAACACGUGGGUGAUCUGCCCUGCACUUCGGGAUAAGCCUGGGAAACUGGGUCUAAUACCGGAUAGGACAAUGGUUUGGAUGCUGUUGUGGAAAGUUUUUCGGUGUGGGAUGAGCUCGCGGCCUAUCAGCUUGUUGGUGGGGUAAUGGCCUACCAAGGCGUCGACGGGUAGCCGGCCUGAGAGGGUGUACGGCCACAGUGGGACUGAGAUACGGCCCAGACUCCUACGGGAGGCAGCAAUGGGGAAUAUGGCACAAUGGGCGCAAGCCUGAUGCAGCGACGCCGCGUGGGGGAUGACGGCCUUCGGGUUGUAAACUCCUUUCGCUAGGGACGAAGCGUUUUUGUGACGGUACCUGGAGAAGAAGCACCGGCUAACUACGUG